AACAAGGCGUACCUGCGGACCUGCGGAGGGAUCAUUACCGAGUUUACAACUCCCAAACCCCUGUGAACAUACCUAUACGUUGCCUCGGCGGAUCAGCCCGCGCCCUGUAAAACGGGACGGCCCGCCCGAGGACCCUAAACUCUGUUUUUAGUGGAACUUCUGAGUAAAACAAACAAAUAAAUCAAAACUUUUAACAAUGGAUCU
This 204-nucleotide unclassified non-coding RNA is filed under the name soil metagenome. RNAcentral's name for it is "partial contains 5.8S ribosomal RNA, internal transcribed spacer 2, and large subunit ribosomal RNA". The record is from RNAcentral.